CGGACUGUAGCGCAGCUUGGUAGCGCACCGUCAUGGGGUUCGGGGGUCGGAGGUUCAAAUCCUCUCAGUCCGACCA
RNAcentral lists this transfer RNA (76 nucleotides) under Vibrio cholerae. RNAcentral's name for it is "tRNA-OTHER". It matches the Rfam family "tRNA". Rfam says of the family: Transfer RNA (tRNA) molecules are approximately 80 nucleotides in length. Lineage: Bacteria; Pseudomonadati; Pseudomonadota; Gammaproteobacteria; Vibrionales; Vibrionaceae. The record is from RNAcentral.